AGAGUUUGAUCCUGGCUCGGGAUGAACGCUAGCGGCAGGCUUAACACAUGCAAGUCGAGGGGCAGCGGGGUGUAGCAAUACACUGCCGGCGACCGGCGCACGGGUGCGUAACGCGUAUGCAACCUACCCAUAACAGGGGCAUAACACUGAGAAAUUGGUACUAAUUCCCCAUAACAUUCGAAGAGGCAUCUCUUUGGGUUGAAAACUCCGGUGGUUAUGGAUGGGUAUGCGUUGUAUUAGCUAGUUGGUGGGGUAACGG
RNAcentral lists this ribosomal RNA (259 nucleotides) under uncultured bacterium. RNAcentral describes it as "partial 16S ribosomal RNA". It matches the Rfam family "Bacterial small subunit ribosomal RNA", at positions 8 to 263 of the family's 1533-position model. The record is from RNAcentral.